UCUAUACAUGCAGUCGACGAACUCUGGUAUUGAUUGGUGCUUGCAUCAUGAUUUACAUUUGAGUGAGUGGCGAACUGGUGAGUAACACGUGGGAAACCUGCCCAGAAGCGGGGGAUAACACCUGGAAACAGAUGCUAAUACCGCAUAACAACUUGGACCGCAUGGUCCGAGUUUGAAAGAUGGCUUCGGCUAUCACUUUUGGAUGGUCCCGCGGCGUAUUAGCUAGAUGGUGGGGUAACGGCUCACCAUGGCAAUGAUACGUAGCCGACCUGAGAGGGUAAUCGGCCACAUUGGGACUGAGACACGGCCCAAACUCCUACGGGAGGCAGCAGUAGGGAAUCUUCCACAAUGGACGAAAGUCUGAUGGAGCAACGCCGCGUGAGUGAAGAAGGGUUUCGGCUCGUAAAACUCUGUUGUUAAAGAAGAACAUAUCUGAGAGUAACUGUUCAGGUAUUGACGGUAUUUAACCAGAAAGCCACGGCUAACUACGUGCCAGCAGCCGCGGUAAUACGUAGGUGGCAAGCGUUGUCCGGAUUUAUUGGGCGUAAAGCGAGCGCAGGCGGUUUUUUAAGUCUGAUGUGAAAGCCUUCGGCUCAACCGAAGAAGUGCAUCGGAAACUGGGAAACUUGAGUGCAGAAGAGGACAGUGGAACUCCAUGUGUAGCGGUGAAAUGCGUAGAUAUAUGGAAGAACACCAGUGGCGAAGGCGGCUGUCUGGUCUGUAACUGACGCUGAGGCUCGAAAGUAUGGGUAGCAAACAGGAUUAGAUACCCUGGUAGUCCAUACCGUAAACGAUGAAUGCUAAGUGUUGGAGGGUUUCCGCCCUUCAGUGCUGCAGCUAACGCAUUAAGCAUUCCGCCUGGGGAGUACGGCCGCAAGGCUGAACUCAAGGAAUUGACGGGGCCCGCACAGCGGUGGAGCAUGUGGUUUAAUUCGAAGCUA
RNAcentral lists this ribosomal RNA (941 nucleotides) under Lactiplantibacillus plantarum subsp. plantarum. RNAcentral's name for it is "bacterial SSU rRNA". It matches the Rfam family "Bacterial small subunit ribosomal RNA", at positions 48 to 959 of the family's 1533-position model. Lineage: Bacteria; Bacillati; Bacillota; Bacilli; Lactobacillales; Lactobacillaceae. The record is from RNAcentral.